GGAGACAUGCCCGAGUGGUCAAAGGGGUCAGUUUCGAAAACUGUACGCAGAAAUGCACGAGGGUUCAAAUCCCCCUGUCUCCU
This is a non-coding RNA of Glomus cerebriforme, 83 nucleotides long. The record is from the annotation of a GenBank genome assembly. NCBI's taxonomy places the organism in Eukaryota, Fungi, Glomeromycota, Glomeromycetes, Glomerales, Glomeraceae.